RNAcentral lists this small RNA (430 nucleotides) under Pan troglodytes (chimpanzee). RNAcentral describes it as "processed transcript". The record is from RNAcentral. Lineage: Eukaryota; Metazoa; Chordata; Mammalia; Primates; Hominidae.
GAAGCUAUUCUCUUCUCCCUGAAGGGAGGCAACACUGUCCGUUCGCCUGACUGGCAGUGUUUUAAGGACCCAUCGCGCUUGACGGGAAAGUCAGAUUAAAAAUCAAGAAAUAUAAACCAGAUGUAGCAGUUUCUUGACAUGGAGAACCAAGCCCAUAAUACGAUGGGGCUGAAGUGUAAGACCUCAAUAACUACCUGCUUAUCCAGUCUGAGUGACUGGACUUACACCAGCUCCCUGGAGAAUGCUUCAGCUUCUUUGAAAAAGAACUCUGUAAACUUCUCCUUGUGAGGCUGAGCUUCAGGAAUUAAUGGAACAAAUUGACAUCAUGGUAAGCAACAAGAAAAUGGAUUGGGAAAGAAAGAUGCGGGCUUUGGAGACACGAUUAGAUCUUCGGGAUCAAGAAUUGGCAAAUGCACAAACUUGUUUGGAU